UUUCUCAGAACUCGAGACUUGACCUUCUUGUCGAAUGCUUUCAUCACUCUCUGCUGAUAUAACUGACCAUGACAUAUGGCAGUUGAUCUCUUCUUCUUGAUCGAAUUCAGCAUCAGUCAACUUGGGACUUUGAGGGUGCUAUUUUUUCUUUUGUUUUCUUUUGAUUUUGCUUUUGAUUUCUUUUGAUUUUGCACCCUCUUUUUCUUUGUUUUUUUUUUUUGAUUGAUUUUUUUUCUCUUUUUUGAUAAUGCCCCAGUUGGCUGUUCUGCUGAUUCUCGAGAUGCAGCUGAGUGUGAUCUUCUUUUCUUGCUCAAGAAGUCGGGAAAUACCGUCAGGAAUCCCCUCAAGCAUCAUCUUCUUCCGCUUCGAAUACAGGGAAUUCAAAAUUGGGAGAUGACGUCCGAUCAUUACAUUCAAUGGGUUUGAGAAACAACCUGCAUAAAGAUUUUGAGUAUAAAA
Molecule: long non-coding RNA, 459 nt
Filed under: Lathyrus oleraceus (garden pea)
Lineage: Eukaryota; Viridiplantae; Streptophyta; Magnoliopsida; Fabales; Fabaceae
Description: Pisum sativum (pea) long non-coding RNA (PSAT_LNC038319)
Source: RNAcentral